RNAcentral lists this ribosomal RNA (753 nucleotides) under Salmonella enterica. Its description in RNAcentral is "partial 23S ribosomal RNA". It matches the Rfam family "Bacterial large subunit ribosomal RNA", at positions 436 to 1191 of the family's 2925-position model. Lineage: Bacteria; Pseudomonadati; Pseudomonadota; Gammaproteobacteria; Enterobacterales; Enterobacteriaceae. The record is from RNAcentral.
GUCUGAAUAUGGGGGGACCAUCCUCCAAGGCUAAAUACUCCUGACUGACCGAUAGUGAACCAGUACCGUGAGGGAAAGGCGAAAAGAACCCCGGCGAGGGGAGUGAAAAAGAACCUGAAACCGUGUACGUACAAGCAGUGGGAGCACCCUUUGGGUGUGACUGCGUACCUUUUGUAUAAUGGGUCAGCGACUUAUAUUCUGUAGCAAGGUUAACCGAAUAGGGGAGCCGGAGGGAAACCGAGUCUUAACCGGGCGUUAAGUUGCAGGGUAUAGACCCGAAACCCGGUGAUCUAGCCAUGGGCAGGUUGAAGGUUGGGUAACACUAACUGGAGGACCGAACCGACUAAUGUUGAAAAAUUAGCGGAUGACCUGUGGCUGGGGGUGAAAGGCCAAUCAAACCGGGAGAUAGCUGGUUCUCCCCGAAAGCUAUUUAGGUAGCGCCUCGUGAAUUCAUCUCCGGGGGUAGAGCACUGUUUCGGCUAGGGGGCCAUCCCGGCUUACCAACCCGAUGCAAACUGCGAAUACCGGAGAAUGUUAUCACGGGAGACACACGGCGGGUGCUAACGUCCGUCGUGAAGAGGGAAACAACCCAGACCGCCAGCUAAGGUCCCAAAGUCAUGGUUAAGUGGGAAACGAUGUGGGAAGGCCCAGACAGCCAGGAUGUUGGCUUAGAAGCAGCCAUCAUUUAAAGAAAGCGUAAUAGCUCACUGGUCGAGUCGGCCUGCGCGGAAGAUGUAACGGGGCUAAACCAUG